UUAUAUAAAAUCCGAACGUUUUUUAAAUACACUCAGCUGUUGUCACUAGAAAAUAUCUGGUGCAACUUUUAUAAACGAUACCAACCCGACCAGUACGUAUUCUCUGAGGUUUGAUGAGGCUAAACAUUGGCCAAAUAAAAAAACCUUUGAAACGAGAGGGCUAAAUUCCUCUAACUUUUGCAACAGACAACUUCUGCUGAAUCUGAUUCUUCCAAUAUUAUGUUUGAAAAUAAACGCGUUAGGGACCAUGAAUCUAAAUUUGGACCAUGGGAUCUUCGGGAUAACCAAGAUAACUCUAAACUUAACAAAGAUGUACCACCUAUAUUCGAGGUCCUUAUGAAAUCUUAUAACUGCUUAUUAUAAGCAAUAGUGACUCAUAACAAUAUUAAUAAGGAUCAAGUCUCCACAGUGAUCCCCCUUAAAGUUUCAAAAAAGCCAAAGGUUUUAAAGACUGGUUUUAAGAGAAACGUUAGAACUCCUAAAGCUGGAAAACGAAAAGAGGGGGGGAAAGAGCCCACAAAUUCGGUUUACGCCUGUGAAGAUUCAAAAACCUAUAUUGCAGAAAAAACUUCUUUUUUUGAUAACUGGGACUUUUUGGAUUAA
Molecule: long non-coding RNA, 603 nt
Organism: Zophobas morio
Lineage: Eukaryota; Metazoa; Arthropoda; Insecta; Coleoptera; Tenebrionidae
Exons: 7
Source: RefSeq, a predicted model, not a curated record